UGGGGAAUAUUGCACAAUGGGCGCAAGCCUGAUGCAGCCAUGCCGCGUGUGUGAAGAAGGCCUUCGGGUUGUAAAGCACUUUCAGCGAGGAGGAAGGUGGUGAACUUAAUACGUUCAUCAAUUGACGUUACUCGCAGAAGAAGCACCGGCUAACUCCGUGCCAGCAGCCGCGGUAAUACGGAGGGUGCAAGCGUUAAUCGGAAUUACUGGGCGUAAAGCGCACGCAGGCGGUUUUGUUAAGUCAGAUGUGAAAUCCCCGGGCUCAACCUGGGAACUGCAUUUGAAACUGGCAAGCUAGAGUCUCGUAGAGGGGGGUAGAAUUCCAGGUGUAGCGGUGAAAUGCGUGAGAUGUAUGAGGAAUGAA
This 364-nucleotide ribosomal RNA is filed under the name uncultured bacterium. RNAcentral's name for it is "partial 16S ribosomal RNA". It matches the Rfam family "Bacterial small subunit ribosomal RNA", at positions 355 to 710 of the family's 1533-position model. The record is from RNAcentral.